Molecule: ribosomal RNA, 116 nt
Filed under: Salvator merianae (Argentine black and white tegu)
Lineage: Eukaryota; Metazoa; Chordata; Lepidosauria; Squamata; Teiidae
Source: RNAcentral
GCCUUGAAAUUUAUGCUUUUGCUCCCCAAUCUUCUUUGAUCUUGGAAGCUAAGCAGAUUUGAAUCUGGUUAGUACUGGGAUGGGAGACUGCUUUGGAAUAUCAAGUACUGUAGGCU